CGAGCAUCGAGCAAAUAAGUGCGCGCACACACACAUGCACACGUACGCAAGCAAAUGCAGAGAGACGAACAAAAUGGAGCUGAUUAAGCGACUGCAAAGAAGAACAACAACAACCGUUGACAACAGCCGAAGCGAGCCGAGUGAAUUGCAAUGCGCCGAGCAUUUGCGUCGACUUCGACUUCGACGUCGCCGUAAGCGUCUCUGCCGCGCCACUGCAUUGAAGUUGACAGCGCAGCCGAUUAAUUGAUAAGCAAGCGCGGAAACGCCAAAUGAGCGGAUAAGUAGACGUAGCAAGAAGCUGGCGAGCGGUAACAGCGAAGCAGAUCACCAAGAGAGCAAGUGCAAAAAUGGCACAUGCCUUAUGCAAAGCAGCGACUGCGACGGCGACUGCGACUGUGACUGUGACGCCGGAAGUGACGUUGUUGUUGUGCAUUUUUCAGGUGCAGCAAACGAUCGAUAUUUUUUUAUUUUUCUUCUUACUUUUUUAUAAAUUUGUAUAUAUUUACGAACAUUUAUUUGCUCAAUUAUCGGGCUUCCACUGUGCGUAAUUUUGGCAAUUGAAGCGUUUGAAAAAUAACUAAAUUGAUAAUAAGCCGUGGGGGAUCAAAAUGAACAAUGAAUUUAUAUUGGAAGCGA
Molecule: long non-coding RNA, 636 nt
Organism: Drosophila grimshawi
Lineage: Eukaryota; Metazoa; Arthropoda; Insecta; Diptera; Drosophilidae
Exons: 2
Source: RefSeq, a predicted model, not a curated record